This 253-nucleotide ribosomal RNA is filed under the name uncultured bacterium. RNAcentral describes it as "partial 16S ribosomal RNA". It matches the Rfam family "Bacterial small subunit ribosomal RNA", at positions 524 to 776 of the family's 1533-position model. The record is from RNAcentral.
UACGGAGGGUGCAAACGUUGCUCGGAAUCAUUGGGCGUAAAGCGCACGUAGGCGGACCGCUAAGUCGGAUGUGAAAGCCCUCGGCUUAACCGAGGAAGUGCAUUCGAAACUGACGGUCUUGAGUAUGGAAGAGGGUCGCGGAAUUCCCGGUGUAGAGGUGAAAUGCGUAGAUAUCUGGAGGAACACCGGUGGCGAAGGCGGCAUCCUGGACCGGUAUUGACGCUGAGGCGCGAAAGCUAGGGGAGCAAACGGG